CUACGGGUCGCUCCAGUGGGGAAUAUUGCACAAUGGGGGAAACCCUGAUGCAGCAACGCCGCGUGGAGGAUGACACAUUUCGGUGCGUAAACUCCUUUUAUAGGUCAAGAUAAUGACGGUAGCCUAUGAAUAAGCGCCGGCUAACUCCGUGCCAGCAGCCGCGGUAAUACGGAGGGCGCAAGCGUUACUCGGAAUCACUAGGCGUAAAGAGCAUGUAGGCGGGUUAAUAAGUCAGAAGUGAAAUCCAAUAGCUCAACUAUUGAACUGCUUUUGAAACUGUUAACCUAGAGUGUGGGAGAGGUAGAUGGAAUUUCUGGUGUAGGGGUAAAAUCCGUAGAGAUCAGAAGGAAUACCGAUUGCGAAGGCGAUCUACUGGAACAUUACUGACGCUGAGAUGCGAAAGCGUGGGGAGCAAACAGGAUUAGAUACCCCCGUAGUC
This 439-nucleotide ribosomal RNA is filed under the name uncultured bacterium. Its description in RNAcentral is "partial 16S ribosomal RNA". It matches the Rfam family "Bacterial small subunit ribosomal RNA", at positions 339 to 795 of the family's 1533-position model. The record is from RNAcentral.